GACGAACCGUGCGAACGUUGUUCGGAAUCACUGGGCUUAAAGGGCGCGUAGGCGGACCACCCAGUCCGGGGUGAAAUCUUUCGGCUCAACCGGAAAAGGGCCUUGGAUACUGGUGGUCUGGAGGAAGGUAGGGGCAUGCGGAACUUCCGGUGGAGCGGUGAAAUGCGUUGAUAUCGGAAGGAACACCAGUGGCGAAGGCGACUACCUGGCCUGUUCUUGACGCUGAGGCGCGAAAGCUAGGGGAGCAAACGGG
RNAcentral lists this ribosomal RNA (253 nucleotides) under uncultured bacterium. RNAcentral's name for it is "partial 16S ribosomal RNA". It matches the Rfam family "Bacterial small subunit ribosomal RNA", at positions 524 to 776 of the family's 1533-position model. The record is from RNAcentral.